Molecule: ribosomal RNA, 1524 nt
Filed under: Triticum aestivum (bread wheat)
Lineage: Eukaryota; Viridiplantae; Streptophyta; Magnoliopsida; Poales; Poaceae
Description: partial small subunit ribosomal RNA
Source: RNAcentral
AUGGAUAUCUCACUACCCCUCCUCCUCCUAGCCGGCAUCCUCAUCCCCGUCAUCUCGUACCUGCUGGUGACGAACCGCAGCACUGAGGAAGGGCGGCUGAAGCUGCCGCCGGGCCCGAAGCGGGUGCCGGUGCUCGGCAACCUGCACCAACUGGGCCCUCUACCGCAUCGCAACCUGCGCGACCUGGCCGGGCGGCACGGCCCCGUCAUGCUACUCCGCCUCGGCGCGAUGACGAUGGUGGUGGUCUCGUCCGCGGCUGCGGCGCGCGACGUCAUGAAGGCCCAUGACGCCGACUGUUGCAGCCGCCCCGCGUCGCCGGGACCCGCGCGGCUCUCCUACGGGCGCAAGAGCGUCUCCUUCUCGCCAUACGGCGCCUACUGGCGCGACAUGCGCGGACUCUUCGCCGCGGAGCUCCUCGGCGCGCGCGGUGUCGAAGCCUCCUGGGCCGCACGGCGGGAGCAGGUGGACAGGCUCAUGGCCGCCCUGGGCGACGCUGCGGGGCCGGUGUCGUUGGACGAGCACGUGUUCCGUGUCGCCGAUGGCGUGAUCGCCACGGUGGCGUACGGGAGUGUGUACGGCGCGGAGGCGUUCGCGGGCAAGUACGAGCGGUUCCAGCACGUGCUACAGGAGGCCGUGGACAUGUCGGCCAGCUUCUCCGCCGAGGACUUCUUCCCCAACACCGCCGGCCGCUUCCUCGACCGGCUCGCCGGCAUCAUCGCGCGCCGGGAGAGGAUCUUCAGAGACCUCGACGGCUUCUUCGAGGAAGUGCUGGAGCAGCAUCGAGACCCCACGCGCCCCAGGCCGGAGAGCGGCGGCGGCGACCUGGUGGAUGCCCUCGUCAGAAUCUGCGAGGAGCACGGCUUCACGAGGGACCACGUCAAGGCUGUCCUCCUGGACGCGUUCAUCGGCGGCAUCGACACGAGCUCUGUGACGAUCCUGUGGGCGAUGUCGGAGCUGAUCCGGAAGCCGCAGGUGCUGAAGAAAGCGCAGGAGGAGAUCAGGGCCGUGGUCGCCGGCAACGAGCAGCGGGUGCAAUCGGACGACCUGCCGAAGCUGACCUACCUGAAGAUGGUCGUCAAAGAGACCCUGCGGCUGCACCCACCGAUUACGCUGCUUCUGCCGCGGGAGACGCUUCGGAGGGUGGAGAUCGGCGGCUACAACGUGCCAGCGGGGUCGCGGGUGCUCGUGAACGCGUGGGCCAUCGGGAGGGACCCCGCGAGCUGGGGGCAGGACGCGGAGGAGUUCAAGCCGGAGAGGUUCGAGGCCGGCGGGAGGCACGACAAGGUGGACUUCCGUGGCGCUCACUUGGAACUGAUGCCGUUCGGCGCCGGCCGGCGAAUCUGCCCCGCACUGGUCAUGGGGGUGGCGAACGUGGAGUUCACGUUGGCCAACAUGUUGUAUGGCUUUGAGUGGGAGCUGCCGAAGGGGACGUUGGCCGAGAAGGUGAGCAUGGAGGAGGCCGGUAGGCUGACCUUCCACCGCAAGACGCCGCUGGUGCUCGUGCCUACCCCAUACGUAGUGUGA